RNAcentral lists this ribosomal RNA (403 nucleotides) under uncultured bacterium. RNAcentral describes it as "bacterial SSU rRNA". It matches the Rfam family "Bacterial small subunit ribosomal RNA", at positions 355 to 775 of the family's 1533-position model. The record is from RNAcentral.
UAGGGAAUAUUAGUUAAUGUGCGAAAGCACGAACUAGCAACGCCGCGUGUGCGAUGAAGGCCUUCGGGUUGUAAAGCACUUUUCCAAGGGACGAGGAAGGACGGUACCUUGGGAAUAAGCAUCGGCUAACUACGUGCCAGCAGCCGCGGUAAAACGUAGGAUGCAAGCGUUAUCCGGAUUUACUGGGCGUAAGCGCGUGUAGGCGGUUCGGUAAGUUGGAUGUGAAAGCUCCUGGCUUAACUGGGAGAGGUCGUUCAAUACUGCCGAGCUAGAGGAUGGUAGAGGGAGGUGGAAUUCCGGGUGUAGUGGUGAAAUGCGUAGAUAUUCGGAGGAACACCAGUGGCGAAAGCGGCCUCCUGGACCAUUUCUGACGCUCAGACGCGAAAGCUAGGGUAGCAAACGG